This 535-nucleotide long non-coding RNA is filed under the name Panax ginseng (ginseng). RNAcentral describes it as "long non-coding RNA (PGIN_LNC002177)". The record is from RNAcentral. Lineage: Eukaryota; Viridiplantae; Streptophyta; Magnoliopsida; Apiales; Araliaceae.
CUCCUCGGCCAAAAUUUCAAGAUUCCCCACGGGUCGAGCCGAUGCCUUCAAGGCAUUCUACAAACGAUGGAACAGAUCCAGCUGGAGUUUGGGGCUUCUGAUGGAUGAAGCCUGGCUGUAUAAACACGGUUGUAAGUACCCCUUUACUCGUUUUGUUUCUUAUUUUUAUUUUUCCUGCUUCAUCCCUUAACUUGUUUGCCUUUGUGCAGUGACAAUCUUCAAACCCGAGGGCGUUGACGACCUCUUCAUCCCUAUCACCGUCACCCCCGGAUUCAUCCGACCCCCAGUGACCGACGACGCUCCCGAGGAGGAUACUAUUCCAAUCACCGAGUUGUCACUGGGGUCGACUUCGGGGCCCGAUCCCCCGACCACACAAAGAGGGGCGCUGAAGAUGAGCCGCGCGGAGAAGGCGGCUUUACUGAAGAAGUCCAAGAAGCCCUCCAAGCCGACCAUCAAAGCGGCUACAGAAGUCCCUCCGCCUUCUCGGCCUAAGCCGACUCUCCCGCCGCCCCCUCCGCCGACCGAAGUGGUCGAG